This is a long non-coding RNA of Lagopus muta (rock ptarmigan), 552 nucleotides long. RefSeq lists it as uncharacterized. The transcript has 3 exons. NCBI's taxonomy places the organism in Eukaryota, Metazoa, Chordata, Aves, Galliformes, Phasianidae. The record is from RefSeq and is a predicted model, not a curated record.
GCAGCCCUAUAGCUGCCCUAUAGGUACCCCAUAGCAGCCCCACGGCGGCCCCAUGGCUGCCCUAUAGAUACCCCAUAGCAGCCCCACAGCAGCCCUAUAGCUGCCCUAUAGAUACCCCAUAGCAGUCCCACAGCAGCCCUAUAGCUGCCCUAUAGAUACCCCAUAGCAGCCCCACAGCAGCCCUAUAGCUGCCCUAUAGGUACCCCAUAGCAGCCCCACAACGGCCCCGCGGCUGCCCUAUAGAUACCCCAUAGCAGUCCCACAGCAGCCCUAUAGCUGCCCUAUAGAUACCCUAUAGCAGCCCCACAGCGGCCCCACGGCUGCCCUAUAGAUACCCCAUAGCAGCCCCACAGCAGCCCUAUAGCUGCCCUAUAGGUACCCCAUAGCAGCCCCACGGCGGCCCCAUGGCUGCCCUAUAGAUACCCCAUAGCAGCCCCACAGCAGCCCUAUAGCUGCCCUAUAGGUACCCCAUAGCAGCCCCACAGCGGCCCUAUAGCUGCCCUAUAGAUACCCUAUAGCAGCCCCACAGCGGCCCCACGGCUGCCCUAUAGA